Molecule: long non-coding RNA, 936 nt
Organism: Gigantopelta aegis
Lineage: Eukaryota; Metazoa; Mollusca; Gastropoda; Neomphalida; Peltospiridae
Exons: 3
Source: RefSeq, a predicted model, not a curated record
UCAACAAUCCUUUGACGUGACGUCAACAAUGCUUGAACGUUUUAUAAUGAUGUUAAUUGUACAAAUGUGCGAAUACAAUCGCUGUUUGACAUUUAUAAAGAAUAUAUUUAUUUUAAAUGUAUAAAUGUAAAAUGUGCAUGGAACUAGUACUACCAAAGGACGACAGCUAACUACUGUGCCGUUUUGUUGCAAUAUUGUUUACCAGUGUUGAGAGGAUGUAACAAAAGAGAUAACAAGAAAAACAACUGGCACUUCUGGCAGCCCAAAACCUCACAAUAAUCAUCAGACCAUACUGCACCGCUCUGAUGUUGCUCCAUUUCCGGUCUAAAGCGAGAAAUGCCAUUAUGAAGAAUGACACCGUCAGGUUAGCGCGUUCAGUUUCAUCGACGGCAUUCGGAGACGUCCGCGAAACGGGUGUGGCUUAGUGGUGGAACGCUUGCUUGAGGAGCGCUGAGUCGCAGGAUCGAUAGCCCUGAGUGGGCUCGGGUUUUUACCACUCCUAAUCAGUGCCCCCCCCCCCCCCCACACACACACACACACACGUCUAGUACACCAAAGGCCGUAGUAUGUAUUGUCUUGUCUAGAAAAGAUGCAGGUUUUCCAUAUUAGUAUUAGACGGCAACAGGUUAUCUUUCCCUAUCCCUCCCUUCCUCCCUUCUCUCUCUCUCCUUCCCUCUCCCCCCCCCCCCCCUCUCUCUCUCUCUCUCUCUGUCUGUCUGUCUGUCUGUCUGUCUCUCUCUCUCUCUCUCUCUCUCUCUCUCUCUCUCUCUCUCUCUCUCUCUCUCUCUCUCUCUCUCUCUCUCUCUCUCUCUCUCUCUCUCUCUCAGCAGACAGUUAAACUAAACAACUAAUUAAACUAAACCUAUCGAAUUACAUGUCGUUAUAUCUUCAUACUAACUAUAUACCAGACAUAUGUGAUAUAAGAAAAUAAGACGU